This 167-nucleotide ribosomal RNA is filed under the name Arostrilepis gardneri. RNAcentral describes it as "partial 5.8S ribosomal RNA". The stretch from base 1 to 93 matches the Rfam family "5.8S ribosomal RNA", at positions 58 to 154 of the family's 154-position model. From Rfam's summary of the family: 5.8S ribosomal RNA (5.8S rRNA) is a component of the large subunit of the eukaryotic ribosome. The record is from RNAcentral. Lineage: Eukaryota; Metazoa; Platyhelminthes; Cestoda; Cyclophyllidea; Hymenolepididae.
AUUAAUGUGAAUCGCAGACUGCUUUGAACAUCGACACCUUGAACGCAUAUUGCGGCCAUAGGCUUGCCUAUGGCCACGUCUGUCUGAGCGUCGGCUUAUAAACUAUCACUGCGCGUAAUAAGCGGUGGCUUGAGAGACUGUCGUGGCUGCAGUAGUAGUGGAUGUGA